RNAcentral lists this ribosomal RNA (262 nucleotides) under uncultured Staphylococcus sp. Its description in RNAcentral is "partial 16S ribosomal RNA". It matches the Rfam family "Bacterial small subunit ribosomal RNA", at positions 524 to 785 of the family's 1533-position model. The record is from RNAcentral. Lineage: Bacteria; Bacillati; Bacillota; Bacilli; Caryophanales; Staphylococcaceae.
UACGUAGGUGGCAAGCGUUAUCCGGAAUUAUUGGGCGUAAAGCGCGCGUAGGCGGUUUUUUAAGUCUGAUGUGAAAGCCCACGGCUCAACCGUGGAGGGUCAUUGGAAACUGGAAAACUUGAGUGCAGAAGAGGAAAGUGGAAUUCCAUGUGUAGCGGUGAAAUGCGCAGAGAUAUGGAGGAACACCAGUGGCGAAGGCGACUUUCAGGUCUGUAACUGACGCUGAUGUGCGAAAGCGUGGGGAUCAAACAGGAUUAGAUAC